RNAcentral lists this ribosomal RNA (253 nucleotides) under uncultured bacterium. RNAcentral describes it as "partial 16S ribosomal RNA". It matches the Rfam family "Bacterial small subunit ribosomal RNA", at positions 524 to 776 of the family's 1533-position model. The record is from RNAcentral.
UACAGAGGUCUCAAGCGUUGUUCGGAUUCAUUGGGCGUAAAGGGUGCGUAGGCGGUGAGGUAAGUCGGAUGUGAAAUCCCGGGGCUCAACCCCGGAACUGCAUUCGAUACUGCCUUGCUUGAGCACUGGAGAGGAGACUGGAAUUUACGGUGUAGCAGUGAAAUGCGUAGAUAUCGUAAGGAAGACCAGUGGCGAAGGCGAGUCUCUGGACAGUUGCUGACGCUGAGGCGCGAAAGCGUGGGGAGCAAACAGG